GAUGAACGCUGGCGGCGUGCCUAAUACAUGCAAGUCGAGCGAACGGACGAGAAGCUUGCUUCUCUGAUGUUAGCGGCGGACGGGUGAGUAACACGUGGAUAACCUACCUAUAAGACUGGGAUAACUUCGGGAAACCGGAGCUAAUACCGGACAAUAUUUUGAACCGCAUGGUUCAAAAGUGAAAGACGGUCUUGCUGUCACUUAUAGAUGGAUCUGCGCUGCAUUAGCUAGUUGGUAAGGUAACGGCGUACCAAGGCAACGAUGCAUAGCCGACCUGAGAGGGUGAUCGGCCACACUGGAACUGAGACACGGUCCAGACUCCUACGGGAGGCAGCAGUAGGGAAUCUUCCGCAAUGGGCGAAAGCCUGACGGAGCAACGCCGCGUGAGUGAUGAAGGUCUUCGGAUCGUAAAACUCUGUUAUUAGGGAAGAACAUAUGUGUAAGUAACUGUGCACAUCUUGACGGUACCUAAUCAGAAAGCCACGGCUAACUACGUG
This 497-nucleotide ribosomal RNA is filed under the name uncultured bacterium. Its description in RNAcentral is "partial 16S ribosomal RNA". It matches the Rfam family "Bacterial small subunit ribosomal RNA", at positions 28 to 507 of the family's 1533-position model. The record is from RNAcentral.